GAUGAACGCUGGCGGCGUGCUUAACACAUGCAAGUCGAACGAUUGAAGCUGGAGCUUGCUCCGGCCGAUUUAGUGGCGGACGGGUGAGUAACGCGUGGGUAACCUGCCUCAUACAGGGGGAUAGCAGUUGGAAACGACUGGUAAAACCGCAUAAGCGCACGGUAUCGCAUGAUACAGUGUGAAAACACUCCGGUGGUAUGAGAUGGACCCGCGUCUGAUUAGCUAGUUGGUGAGGUAACGGCCCACCAAGGCGACGAUCAGUAGCCGGCCUGAGAGGGUGAACGGCCACAUUGGGACUGAGACACGGCCCAAACUCCUACGGGAGGCAGCAGUGGGGAAUAUUGCACAAUGGGGGAAACCCUGAUGCAGCGACGCCGCGUGAGUGAUGAAGUAUUUCGGUAUGUAAAGCUCUAUCAGCAGGGAAGAUAAUGACGGUACCUGACUAAGAAGCACCGG
This 456-nucleotide ribosomal RNA is filed under the name uncultured bacterium. RNAcentral's name for it is "bacterial SSU rRNA". It matches the Rfam family "Bacterial small subunit ribosomal RNA", at positions 28 to 496 of the family's 1533-position model. The record is from RNAcentral.